GCAGGCCUAACACAUGCAAGUCGAACGAACCUUCGGGUGAGUGGCGCACGGGUGCGUAACGCGUGGGAAUAUACACAUAGGUGAGGAAUAACGUAGAGAAAUUUGCGCUAAUACCUCAUAAUGACUCCGGUCCAAAGAUUUAUCGCCUAUGAAUUAGCCCGCGUCAGAUUAGAUAGUUGGUGAGGUAAAGGCUCACCAAGUCUACGAUCUGUAGGGGGUCUGAGAGGAUGAUCCCCCACACUGGUACUGAGACACGGACCAGACUCCUACGGGAGGCAGCAGUGAGGAAUAUUGGACAAUGGGGGCAACCCUGAUCCAGCCAUGCCGCGUGAGUGAAGAAGGCCUUAGGGUUGUAAAGCUCUUUCAAUAGUGAAGAUAAUGACGGUAACUAUACAAGAAGCUCCGGCUAAAUUCGUGCCAGCAGCCGCGGUAAUACGAAUGGAGCAAGCGUUGUUCGGAAUCACUGGGCUUAAAGCGUAUGUAGGCGGACUAGCAAGUCAGGAGUGAAAUCCCGGGGCUCAACCCCGGAACUGCUCUUGAAACUGCAAGUCUAGAAUCCUGGAGAGGUUGGGAGAAUUCCUAGUGUAGAGGUGAAAUUC
This 599-nucleotide ribosomal RNA is filed under the name uncultured bacterium. RNAcentral describes it as "bacterial SSU rRNA". It matches the Rfam family "Bacterial small subunit ribosomal RNA", at positions 42 to 689 of the family's 1533-position model. The record is from RNAcentral.